This 253-nucleotide ribosomal RNA is filed under the name uncultured bacterium. RNAcentral's name for it is "partial 16S ribosomal RNA". It matches the Rfam family "Bacterial small subunit ribosomal RNA", at positions 524 to 776 of the family's 1533-position model. The record is from RNAcentral.
UACGGAGGGUGCAAGCGUUAUCCGGAUUCACUGGGCUUAAAGGGUGCGUAGGCGGGCAGGUAAGUCAGUGGUGAAAUCUUCGAGCUUAACUCGGAAACUGCCGUUGAUACUAUCUGUCUUGAAUGUUGUGGAGGUGAGCGGAAUACGUCAUGUAGCGGUGAAAUGCUUAGAUAUGACAUAGAACACCGAUUGCGAAGGCAGCUCACUACACAACGAUUGACGCUGAGGCACGAAAGCGCGGGGAUCAAACAGG